GGAUGAGCUGCUGAGCCCUGCCCCAGUCGGGGAGGGGGCAGAGGGAGGUGCAUGGCCUGCUGUCCCAGCCUCAUGGUCCCCAGCGAGCAGCAGCAAGUGGCCUCUCCCACAGGCUCCAUGGCAAGUGCAGCUUCUUCACUCUGAGCUUCUUGUUAUUGAGAGCUGGCCUUUUAAUGACAAUUCCUGCAAGACUGGUGGUCUUGUCUCCUAGCCCAGGCCCGUGCUCAGCCCCAGCCAGAGGGCCAUGCCCACUGCCUCUGAGAGGAUGGGUCUCCCAGAAGCCGACUUUGCGGGUAGGAUUCUUGGGAAGGUGAUUUACUAAGGACUGGUCCCGGAGGACAUGGCUAAGGGAGUGGGGCUGCAGGAUGGGGGAAGGGAAGCAAUAAGCAAAGGAGGGCUUUCAGGCCAAGUCCCAGCUUCAGUCUGAUCCCAGGAGGAACCACGCAGUGUAAGUCACACCUCAUGUUUGUCCCACUCCAGUGGGGAGCUGGGUGUUCACAGUCCCAGCCUGGCAGUCAGCUAUGGCCCACCCUGGGGUGAAUUAAGCUCUGGCACUUCCUGGCCUUUCUCUUCGCACCUGUGAACCAAGGAGGUGCCAGUAGCCCGAGGGCAGUCUUCUGAAGAGCGAAGACUAACCAGUCUGAGCGACAGCUGCCUUUCCAAGCUCCCAAAGAGAGCCUUUGCCCCAGGAGACCCUUUGCCCAAUUCUCUGGUUCAUCCCAUUGGCAUUUUUCAGUCUUCUGUAAAGUGCUGUCAGGUCUUUAGAACAUAAGCUCCCAUCUCCAUAUUGGCCAAUGAAAAAUUAAACUAUUUUUCUUUCUAUCUUGCAGACUCCUGCUCGGGCACUUUGAACAGUGCGCGCAGGCAGAUGAACUCAGAAACAACACUGGGUCCCGGUAACAGCACCGCCAAGAGCUUUGCCUGGUUCCUGGCUAUGAAGUCACAUUAGCAAUCCUUACGGUUCUCUUUUAAUUUUAUAAGCCCCGGCCCCCCAGGCUGCUGGCCUGGUGUCUGACCCCUGCAGCGCCUCCCCCCCGGCCUUCUGGAGGUUCCCCUUCUGCAGUGCUCUCCAUGCUCAGCUGGGGCAGCGUUCUUCAGGAGUCAGGACAGAAAUCUUUGCGGGACAGACCUGCAUGAGGAAUCUACCUGCAUCGCUGAGACCCGAGCACCAGGUUAAAGCCUCUCCAAGGCUCUGGAUUCUCCUCUGUGAAAUGGGAUGAUUACCGUACCUAGUUCAUGCUUCCCAUGGCUCCCCGCUGCCUUCAGG
This is a non-coding RNA of Miniopterus natalensis, 1267 nucleotides long. The record is from RefSeq and is a predicted model, not a curated record. NCBI's taxonomy places the organism in Eukaryota, Metazoa, Chordata, Mammalia, Chiroptera, Miniopteridae.